Molecule: non-coding RNA, 24 nt
Filed under: Cricetulus griseus (Chinese hamster)
Lineage: Eukaryota; Metazoa; Chordata; Mammalia; Rodentia; Cricetidae
Source: RNAcentral
UUCGAUUCCCGGCCAACGCAUCAG